AAUCAACGCUGGCGGCGUGCCUCAGACAUGCAAGUCGAACGCGAAAGUUUCCUUCGGGAGACAAGUAGAGUGGCGCACGGGUGAGUAACACGUAGGUAAUCUACCUUUGGAUGGGGAAUAACAACCGGAAAUGGUUGCUAAUACCGCAUAAUGCAGCGGCACCUAAUGGUGACAGUUGUUAAAAGCGGGGGGAUCGAAAGACCUCGCGUCUGAAGAGGAGCCUGCGGCGGAUUAGCUAGUUGGUAAGGUAAUGGCUUACCAAGGCUACGAUCCGUAACCGGCCUGAGAGGGCGGUCGGUCACACUGACACUGACAUACGGGUCAGACUCCUACGGGAGGCAGCAGUCGGGAAUUUUGGGCAAUGGGCGAAAGCCUGACCCAGCAACGCCGCGUGAAGGAUGAAAUCCCUCGGGAUGUAAACUUCGCAAGAACGGGAAGAA
RNAcentral lists this ribosomal RNA (440 nucleotides) under uncultured bacterium. RNAcentral describes it as "bacterial SSU rRNA". It matches the Rfam family "Bacterial small subunit ribosomal RNA", at positions 32 to 449 of the family's 1533-position model. The record is from RNAcentral.